This 433-nucleotide ribosomal RNA is filed under the name uncultured bacterium. RNAcentral's name for it is "partial 16S ribosomal RNA". It matches the Rfam family "Bacterial small subunit ribosomal RNA", at positions 29 to 507 of the family's 1533-position model. The record is from RNAcentral.
AACGAACGCUGGCGGCAUGCCUAACACAUGCAAGUCGAACGAGACCUUCGGGUCUAGUGGCGCACGGGUGCGUAACGCGUGGGAACCUGCCCUUAGGUUCGGAAUAACUCCCCGAAAGGGGUGCUAAUACCGGAUAAUGUCUUCGGACCAAAGAUUUAUCGCCUUUGGAUGGGCCCGCGUUGGAUUAGCUAGUUGGUAGUGUAAAAGCCUACCAAGGCGACGAUCCAUAGCUGGUCUGAGAGGAUGAUCAGCCACACUGGGACUGAGACACGGCCCAGACUCCUACGGGAGGCAGCAGUGGGGAAUAUUGGACAAUGGGCGAAAGCCUGAUCCAGCAAUGCCGCGUGAGUGAUGAAGGCCUUAGGGUUGUAAAGCUCUUUUACCCGGGAUGAUAAUGACAGUACCGGGAGAAUAAGCGCCGGCUAACUCCGUG